AGGAGGAAGAGAGUGGGAGACAAGAAUACGUAAUUGUUUUAUACGUUAUAUGAAAUUUUUAAAAAAUGAUAUGAGCUGGCUAAGAAGAAGAAGAAGAAGGUCAAAGAAUUAUGAUGUAACGAAAGGAGAUCGACCAGGGAGAUAUAUAUAAAGGGGCUUGAAGGAACAGAAACUUUAGGUUUGUGUUUGUUUGGAGACUAUUAAAUCUAAAUUCUACGCUUUGUCGCAAAGCAGUACAUAGAUAUUGUUGUACGUCCUAAGUUUUGAGUACCUCCUCUUCUAGAAUCUGUCUCUUUUGUUUGCUUAUUAUUCUCAUGUUCUUUUAUGGGCUUGGAUGGGCCCUUAUUAUAGUGUCAUAUUUAGAGAUCCACCCAACCACUGGUCGUACUUCUGUCAUUUAGCAUUUUCGUCGGUUUCGAAGCUUUAAUUAGUACUACUAUGUAGUCAAUUGCUUUUUGUUGAAUGA
Arabidopsis thaliana (thale cress) is the source of this 466-nucleotide long non-coding RNA. RefSeq annotates it as other RNA. NCBI's taxonomy places the organism in Eukaryota, Viridiplantae, Streptophyta, Magnoliopsida, Brassicales, Brassicaceae. The record is from RefSeq. The transcript has a single exon.